RNAcentral lists this ribosomal RNA (807 nucleotides) under uncultured endophytic bacterium. RNAcentral describes it as "bacterial SSU rRNA". It matches the Rfam family "Bacterial small subunit ribosomal RNA", at positions 6 to 790 of the family's 1533-position model. The record is from RNAcentral.
GGAGAGUUUGAUCAUGGCUCAGAACUAACGCUUGUGGUGUGUCUUAGUCAUGCAAGUCGAACGAGAAAGUCACCCUCGGGUGACGAGUACAGUGGCAAACGGGUGAGCAACACGUGGGCAACUUGCCCCUGGGUUGGGGAUAACACUUCUAACGAGGUGCUAAUACCGAAUGGCAAGGUGGAAGAAUAUUCUAUCUUUAAAGGUGGCCUCUGCUUGCACGCUGCCGCUUGGAGAUGAGCCCACAUCCUAUUAGCUUGUUGGUAGGGUAACGGCCUACCAAGGCGAUGAUGGGUAGCCGGCCUGAGAGGGCGAACGGCCACACUGGAACUGAGACAAGGUCCAGUCCCCUGCGGGGGCCAGCAGUCUAGAAAUUUGCACAAUCGACGCAAGUCGGAUGCAGUGACGCCACGUGGAGGAUGAAGCCUUUCGGGGUGUAAACUCCUGUCAGGAGGGAAGAAAGCGCAGAUGUUAAUACCAUCUGUUGCUUGACGGUACCUUCAAAGGAAGCUCCGGCUAACUACGUGCCAGCAGCCGCGGUAAUACGUAGGGAGCGAGCGUUGUUCGGAUUUACUGGGCGUAAAGAGCACGUAGGCUGGUCGGCAAGUCGGCUGUGAAAUCCUCCGGCUCAACCAGAGAAGUGCAGCCGAAACUGCCGAUCCUGAGUCUAGCAGAGGAAAUCGGAAUCUUGGGUGUAGCGGUAAAAUGCGUAGAUAUCCAAGAGAACACCAGUGGCGAAGGCGGAUUUCUGGGCUAGUACUGACGCUGAGGUGCGAAAGCGUGGGGAGCGAACAGGAUUAGAUACCCUGG